RNAcentral lists this transfer RNA (77 nucleotides) under Candidatus Saccharimonadota bacterium. RNAcentral's name for it is "tRNA-Thr". It matches the Rfam family "tRNA". From Rfam's summary of the family: Transfer RNA (tRNA) molecules are approximately 80 nucleotides in length. Lineage: Bacteria; Candidatus Saccharimonadota. RNAcentral also lists the same sequence under 1 other name. The record is from RNAcentral.
GCCGCCUUAGCUCAGUUGGUUAGAGCGACGGUUUUGUAAACCGUAGGUCGUCGGUUCGAAUCCGACAGGCGGCUCCA